AAAAGAAACUAAAUAGGAUUUCCAUAGUAACUGCGAGUGAACUGGAAUUAGCCCAUCACGAAAUCUAUAUUAUAAUAAUAAUAUCGAAAUGUCGUGUAUAGGUUUUAUUAUUAUUAAUAAAUUAUUAUUAAAUAAUUGUAUUUAAAUAUACAGCCACAGAAGGUGCCAGCCCUGUUAUUUAAUAAUAUUUAUUAAAUUUAUAAAACUUUAGAGUCGUGUUGCUUGGAAGUGCAGCACAAAGUUGGUGAUAAACAUCAUCUAAGGCUAAAUAUUCCUAUGAAUCCGAUAGCGAACAAGUACUGUGAAGGAAAAUUGCAAAGUACUCCGGAGAGAGAGUUAAAGAGGACGUGAAACCGAUACGAUGGAAGCAUACAGAGCCAGUUGCACUAUUAUUAAUAUUUUUUUAUUAAUAAUUUUAAGCAUGGGUAUAUUGAUUAUUAAUUAGUUAUUUAUUAAAGAGUGAUAAAAUUUUUUAAAUUUUGUUAACUUUAAUAAAAUAAUUAUAUUUAUAAUUAAUAUUAUAUAUUAUUAAUGUAUUAAUAAUAUUUUAAUUAUUAAUAUAAUAUAAGACACAUGUGUUAAAUAUUAUUUAUUAAUAAUUAUUAUAUUAUUAUAAAUUAAUAAACCUAUGUAAUCCUGGUAUGCUGUAUGUCCCGUCUUGAAACACGGACCAAGGAGUGUAUUGCUAUGGCAAGUCAUUGAUAUUAUUAAUAUCAAAGGCAUAAUGAAAAUAA
This 734-nucleotide ribosomal RNA is filed under the name Strongyloides stercoralis. RNAcentral describes it as "eukaryotic LSU rRNA". It matches the Rfam family "Eukaryotic large subunit ribosomal RNA", at positions 57 to 728 of the family's 3401-position model. Lineage: Eukaryota; Metazoa; Nematoda; Chromadorea; Rhabditida; Strongyloididae. The record is from RNAcentral.